UGGGUUUUUCAUUUGCGUUUCACAAAAGAGGUUUAAACCCCGAGGGGGUUUAAAUGCGUCAUAAAACGUCAUGAAACGUCAUAUUUUUUAGUCUGCUCUUAGAUGUGGUUUAAACCAUGGUUUAAUUUUACGAGCAUGCGCACUUGAGGAGUUUGUGAAAAAUCCGUGAAGCGAAGAAAAUUCUUCUUGCGGUCCUGGACCUGACAAGUGGUCUUCUUGAUUAGAAAUUCAAUUACAUCGGCAUCAGAGGUACCAUACAGUGUAGGUCUCUAUGGAUUAUCUCCAUCUUCUUCACAGCUUUAAAUUACUAAGAGCUACCUUUCCCAAGACAUUGUGGGCUACAUGAUGCUAAAAAUCCAUCGAAAUCGUACAAGGAUGGGCCAUCUCGAGAUCAGUAUCGACUGUCAAAAGAAACCAUCACCAAUAUGCUGGAAGCCGAAAUGAAGAGGGACACACAGCUCAGAGGAUAGAUCAACUUCCUGUUUAUUUGCAGGUGUUGACAACUCUCCAUUUUUAUGCAGUGGGAUCAUUUUAAAAGAUGCAUGGUGAUGAGGCAGCAAUAUCGCAGUCAUCAAUGUGUCAGAAGCUGAAGCAAGAAGGAAGAGGCAAUACAUGAAGAUUCCUACAAGAGAAGAAGUUGAAGCAACUCGGAGACAGUUCUAUCUGACUGUUAGAUUUCCAGGAGUGAAAGGUGCAAUUGAUGGGACACAUGUCUACAUCAAGAG
Molecule: long non-coding RNA, 725 nt
Organism: Lytechinus variegatus (green sea urchin)
Lineage: Eukaryota; Metazoa; Echinodermata; Echinoidea; Temnopleuroida; Toxopneustidae
Exons: 4
Source: RefSeq, a predicted model, not a curated record